CUCAAAUAAAAUUUUUUUAUUUUUUUGUUUAAUAAAAAGAUUAGAAGAUAAUUAUCCACCGAAAAAAGAAAAAACAGCAAAAAAAACAAAAGAAGAAAUUACAUAAAAGAGAUGAAAAAAAAAAGCUUUCUAAAAUGCCAAAGACUUCCAAGAAAACAUCCUAAUAAUUGAGAGAUAGUGUGCCUAUGAUUGCAAGCAGCAGAUGCAGGAUAAGACCAAUCUCUUGGUCAGAGCUUGGACAUUUGUGCUACUUGUUCUUCCUCCUCUUCAAUCCAGUUUUGGCACUACCCUGGAAUUAAUUUGGUUGUGUAGGCAUGAAAACCAACAUUUCUGGGCUAUAAAGAUGAGCUCCUUUCCCCUUUUUCUUCUUUAAUCUGGUCCAACGAAACCUCAUCUCCACUGCACCAACCAUUGUUGCUAAAGCAAGUGUUCUCUUUCCUUCAGCGGCGGGCACCAUCUUUCCACGCAUGAAAUGCCUGGCAAAGACGGCGACGACGAUGCCUGUCAGCGACACCACUUGAGAGCCAGGUGUUGCUCCAUCCAAAGGCGUUAAAGUGGAUUCCAACUCCUCCCUCAACCAUGGAUUGAAGUGCUCCAGUGGUGACUGUCGUGUCCUUCCCUUUCAUGGCCCAGGAACCAGGGUUCUCCCAGCUCCAAAGGAAGGCUUCUGCAAUGUGUCAAGCGUCAGCCUCUCCUGCGGGGUUACCUGAGAUUAAAGGUGGAGCAGCUCUUGUUGACUGGAUCAACAAUGGCUGUUCUAAUCCUAGAAUAAGUGACUUGAGUUGCACAUCCUCUUGGUAUGCAGCCAUAGGUUCAACUCCUAAGCCAUGAUGUUGUAGUAUGUUUUGGAUCUUUGGAAAUUUGCAGUGUGAUUUGGUGUAUUAGGGGAAUGAUACAUUUCUCAGUUCAUGACA
Long non-coding RNA from Musa acuminata AAA Group (dessert banana), 914 nucleotides. RefSeq lists it as uncharacterized. NCBI's taxonomy places the organism in Eukaryota, Viridiplantae, Streptophyta, Magnoliopsida, Zingiberales, Musaceae. The record is from RefSeq and is a predicted model, not a curated record. The transcript has 2 exons.